GGAACUUCAACUUCCCAGACAUCUGCUGGAAUUAUAAUACAGCAGAAAGGGAAAAGUCCCGGAGGUUCCUAGAAUGUGUGGGAGACAACUUCCUGACACAGCUGGUGAAGGAGCCAACAAGGGGAACCAAAAUCCUGGACCUGCUGCUUGUUAACAGAGAAGGCCUUGUGGGGGACAUAAAGGUUGGAGGCCAUCUGGGGCAAAGUGAUCAUGAAAUAAUAGACUUCUCAAUCUUUGUUGAACCUCAGAGGGAAGUCAGCAAAACUGCAACCUUGGACUUCCGAAGGGCAGGCUUUGGCCUCUUUAGGAGCAUGGUUGAGAGAGUCCCUUGGGAGGUAGUUCUGGAGGGCAUGGGAGCCAAGGACGGCUGGGAAUACUUUAAGAAAGUUAUUUUAAUGGUGCAGGAGCUGGCUAUCCCCAAGUCACGGAAGAUGAGCUGUUGGGGUAGAAGACUGGUCUGGCUGAACAGAGACCUUAAACUGGAACUCAGGAACAAAAGGAAAGUUUAUGGUCUUUGGAAGAGGGGGCAAGCAACUUAUGACGAUUACAAGUACCUAGUGAAGCUGUGCAGGGAGAAAAUUAGAAAAGCCAAAGCCCAGCUAGAACUGAACUUGGCCACUAAGGUAAAGAACAGCAAUGAAUAUUUCUAUAAAUACAUCAACAGUAAAAGGAGGGCUAGGGAGAAUCUCCAUCCCUUGUUGGAUGCUGAAGGCAACACAGUGACCAAGGAUCAGGAUAAGGCUGAGGUACUUAAUGCCUUUUUCGCCUCAGUCUUUAAUAGUAAGACUUGCUGUGCCCUGGGCACACAGCCCCUUGAGCUGGCAGAUGGGGAUGGGGAACAGAAUAGGCCAUGCACAAUCCACGAUGAGAUGGUUAUGGACCUGCUCCACAAGCUGGACACUCACAAGUCCAUGGGGCCAGAUGGACUGCACCCUAGAGUGCUGAGGGAGUUGGUGGAUGUGGUUGCCAGGCCUCUCUCCAUCAUCUUUCAACAGUCCUGGCUAACAGGGAGUGUCCUGGCUGACUGGAGACUAGCAAAUGUGACGCCCAUCUUCAAGAAGGGCCGGAAAGAUGAUCCUGGUAGCUGCAGACCUAUCAGUCUCACCUCGGUGCCAGGAAAGGUUAUGGAAUGGAUAAUCUCAGGAUACAUUGUGGAUCAGUUAAAGGUCAACCAGGGGAUCAGGCCCAGUCAGCAUGGGUUUAUGAAUGGUAGAUCCUGUUUGACAAACCUGACUUCGUUCUAUGACAAGGUGACCCGCUUAGUGGAUGAAGGCAAGGCUGUCGAUGUGGUCUACCUGGACUUCAGUAAGGCCUUUGACACUGUCCCCCUCAACAUCCUUGUGGAGAAGCUGGCUG
RNAcentral lists this long non-coding RNA (1356 nucleotides) under Numida meleagris (helmeted guineafowl). Its description in RNAcentral is "lncRNA (ENSNMEG00000000907.1)". The record is from RNAcentral. Lineage: Eukaryota; Metazoa; Chordata; Aves; Galliformes; Numididae.